GAAAAGGAUUUGAGCAACUCUCCCCAUAAAAUUCAUGAUCAAUCAACUUUAUACCAGCCAUCCCUUCAAUGAUCAGGGUUUUUAGAGAAGGUAGUUGCCCAAGCUGUGGCAAGGAUGUGCAUUUCUUACAGUUCUCGAACCUUAAGAACACAAGAUUACAGAAUGAGAUAUUUCCUACCCAAGAGGGAAAUCUGGCACCACAAUAGCCUUUUACAUAUAGCUUUUUCAAUUGUGUAUGAGGUUGAAGGCUGCCAAGUACAUCUCUAUCAAGUCUCUCAUUCCGUGCACUAUCAUAUGUCCAUUCAAGAAAUAGAUCAUCUAAGUCUUUCUUAUCUGUUAAGUUGGCCUGCCUUGCAUCCUGAGCAUUAAUCACAUUCUCCAACUUGGAAAUGUGGAGGGCUUUCUGAAGGAAUUUUAAGUCCAUCAAAGCUGAUAGACAGGCUGCACCAUUUUUUCCCACCACAAAAUCAGACAAUGUUCGAAGACUUUUUAAUGCUUUUAUUCCUAUUGGCAUCCCUUCUACUAAAUGUGCACCCGUGAUGUCAAGAAAGCGCAAACUGAUCAGAUUUCCUAUUUCUGAAGGCAAUUCCUCAAGCCGUGAGCAUCCUUUCAACAUGAUAGUUUGUAAGCUAUACAAUGAAGUUACUGACUUGGGUAAAAUUCUGAUUUGAGUAUGUGAAAGGUCUAGGUACCUUAAAAGUUUUAAGUUACCAAUUGAAUCUGGUAGCUCGCCAAUGCUAUAAUGACUAAAAGACAAUACUCUUAAACAUCUCAGCUUUGGUAACAAUUCAGAAGGAACAUAAUUUGGUAAGAAGCUUUCUGGGAAAUUACUUAGUCUUAGAGAGAGAGACAGAAAGGUCCGUAAAUAUUGCAUCCUGUGGAAAGGUUCAAAUCUCGUAAUGCCAUUACAAUAGCCACGAAUGUAAGAUGAGUGUCGAGCUCUUUCUCCUUUGGAUGGUUCACCAACCCUACAUUCAUCGUCCAAUCUUAAACAUAUUUCUCCUGCAACCCUUUGUGCUAGAUCAUUAACAAGGUCAUGCAUUACAAAUUUAGAUUCACCACUGCCUGAUGCUUGAAAAAGAGAUCUAGAUAAUAAAUCACGGAAAUACUCAACUCCAACAACUUCCAUCUGCUUUUGGCCAUCCAUUUGUUGAAUCAAACCUUCUGCCAUCCA
Molecule: unclassified non-coding RNA, 1174 nt
Filed under: Hevea brasiliensis (rubber tree)
Lineage: Eukaryota; Viridiplantae; Streptophyta; Magnoliopsida; Malpighiales; Euphorbiaceae
Source: RNAcentral